RNAcentral lists this ribosomal RNA (496 nucleotides) under uncultured bacterium. RNAcentral describes it as "partial 16S ribosomal RNA". It matches the Rfam family "Bacterial small subunit ribosomal RNA", at positions 29 to 507 of the family's 1533-position model. The record is from RNAcentral.
AUGAACGCUGGCGGCGUGCCUCAUCCCUGCCAGUCGCGCGAACAGACGAGGAGCUUGCUCCUUUGACGUUAGCGGCGGACGGGUGAGUAACACGUAGGUAACCUACCUAUAAGACUGGGAUAACUUCGGGAAACCGGAGCUAAUACCGGAUAAUAUUUCGAACCGCAUGGUUCGAUAGUGAAAGAUGGCUUUGCUAUCACUUAUAGAUGGACCUGCGCCGUAUUAGCUAGUUGGUAAGGUAACGGCUUACCAAGGCAACGAUACGUAGCCGACCUGAGAGGGUGAUCGGCCACACUGGAACUGAGACACGGUCCAGACUCCUACGGGAGGCAGCAGUAGGGAAUCUUCCGCAAUGGGCGAAAGCCUGACGGAGCAACGCCGCGUGAGUGAUGAAGGUCUUCGGAUCGUAAAACUCUGUUAUUAGGGAAGAACAAACGUGUAAGUAACUGUGCACGUCUUGACGGUACCUAAUCAGAAAGCCACGGCUAACUACGUG